This 396-nucleotide ribosomal RNA is filed under the name uncultured bacterium. RNAcentral's name for it is "bacterial SSU rRNA". It matches the Rfam family "Bacterial small subunit ribosomal RNA", at positions 30 to 429 of the family's 1533-position model. The record is from RNAcentral.
AUUGAACGCUGGCGGCAUGCCUUACACAUGCAAGUCGAACGGCAGCGGGCCUUCGGGUGCCGGCGAGUGGCGAACGGGUGAGUAAUGCAUCGGAACGUGCCAUUGAGUGGGGGGAUAACGUAGCGAAAGUUGCGCUAAUACCGCAUAUUCUGUGAGCAGGAAAGCAGGGGACCGCAAGGCCUUGCGCUCUUUGAGCGGCCGAUGUCAGAUUAGCUAGUUGGUGAGGUAAAGGCUUACCAAGGCGACGAUCUGUAGCGGGUCUGAGAGGAUGAUCCGCCACACUGGAACUGAGACACGGUCCAGACUCCUACGGGAGGCAGCAGUGGGGAAUUUUGGACAAUGGGGGCAACCCUGAUCCAGCCAUGCCGCGUGAGUGAAGAAGGCCUCGGUUGUAAG